UACAGAGGGUGCAAGCGUUAAUCGGAAUUACUGGGCGUAAAGCGUGCGUAGACGGUCAUGUAAGUCGGGUGUGAAAGCCCCGGGCUCAACCUGGGAACCGCGCUUGAGACUGGCAUGCUCGAGUUCGGGAGAGGAUGGUGGAAUUCCCAGUGUAGAGGUGAAAUUCGUAGAUAUUGGGAAGAACACCGAUGGCGAAGGCAGCCAUCUGGACCGACACUGACGCUGAGGCGCGAAAGCGUGGGGAGCAAACAGG
Molecule: ribosomal RNA, 253 nt
Filed under: uncultured bacterium
Lineage: Bacteria
Description: partial 16S ribosomal RNA
Rfam family: Bacterial small subunit ribosomal RNA
Source: RNAcentral